This 496-nucleotide ribosomal RNA is filed under the name uncultured bacterium. RNAcentral describes it as "partial 16S ribosomal RNA". It matches the Rfam family "Bacterial small subunit ribosomal RNA", at positions 28 to 523 of the family's 1533-position model. The record is from RNAcentral.
GAUGAACGCUAGCGGCAGGCCUAAUACAUGCAAGUCGAGGGGUAGAAGAGGCUUGCUUCUUUGAGACCGGCGCACGGGUGCGUAACGCGUAUGCAACCUACCUUCAUCUGGGGGAUAGCCCGGAGAAAUCCGGAUUAAUACCGCAUAAAAUCACAGGAUGGCAUUAUCCAAUGAUCAAACAUUUAUGGGAUGGAGAUGGGCAUGCGUGUCGUUAGCUAGUUGGCGGGGUAACGGCCCACCAAGGCGACGAUGACUAGGGGAGCUGAGAGGAUGGCCCCCCACACUGGGACUGAGACACGAACCAGACUCCUACGGGAGGCAGCAGUAAGGAAUAUUGGUCAAUGGAGGCAACUCUGAACCAGCCAUGCCGCGUGCAGGAAGACUGCCCUAUGGGUUGUAAACUGCUUUUAUUCGGGAAUAAACCUUAUUACGUGUAAUAAGCUGAAUGUACCGAAGGAAUAAGGAUCGGCUAACUCCGUGCCAGCCGCCGCAGUAA